Molecule: non-coding RNA, 95 nt
Organism: Pantoea sp.
Lineage: Bacteria; Pseudomonadati; Pseudomonadota; Gammaproteobacteria; Enterobacterales; Erwiniaceae
Source: Rfam
AGGAUUAUGAGUAUAUGGGGAUGAUCGUUCGACAUUCAACGGCAUGAAAGCGAGAAAAACAAAAGGGGAAAGAAUUUUCCCCUUUUUUAAUCAUU